Long non-coding RNA from Erinaceus europaeus (western European hedgehog), 763 nucleotides. RefSeq lists it as uncharacterized. The transcript is spliced from 2 exons. The record is from RefSeq and is a predicted model, not a curated record. NCBI's taxonomy places the organism in Eukaryota, Metazoa, Chordata, Mammalia, Eulipotyphla, Erinaceidae.
CCUGCCCCUCCCUCCCAUCUCAGCCAAGCCUCUCACUUGGGAACUUGGCAGGAAGCUUUGCAUGAGGGUUUGGAUUUAUAAGCUUUGUAACUGUUCUCUGAAUGCCACAGUGCACCUUCCCAGUGAUUCCUAGUUCUUAAUCUCCUAGGACUCUAUGUCCGCUCCCAAACACUAAAUAAUGGACGGUGAUAGAAGACAGUUGCUUUUUCCAGAACGGAGAGGCAGAAGAUGGAGACACCAAGUUGCAGGUGCUACCAUGACGCCAACUUGACUUCCCUGGGCAGACGAACCCACCAAUGUAUCCUGGAACCCCACCUCUCCAGAGCCCUGGCCCACUAAGGAAGAAUAGAAACAGACCAGGAGUAUGGAUCAACCUGCCAAUGCCCGUGUCCAGUGGAGAAGCAAUUACAGAAGCCAGACGUUCCACCUUCUGCACCCCAUAAUGAUCCUGGUUCCAUAAUCUCAGAGGGAUAAAGAAUAGGAAAACUUCCAAUGGAGGGGAUGGGAUACAGAACUCUGGUGUUGGGAAUUGUGUGUAAUUGGACCCCACUUAUCCUAUGGUCUUAUGGAUCAUUAUUAAAUCAAUUUAAAAAACUGCAUAAUCUGGGCUGGGGAGGCAGUAUAAUGGUUAUGCAAAAGACUUUUUUGCCUGUGGCUUCAAGGUCCCAGCACCACCAUAAGCCAGAGCUGAGCAGCCCUUCAGUGUCUUUCUCUAUCCCUCUCAUUAAAAUAAUCAAAUAAAGUGUUUUUUAAAAUUGCAGAA